AGAGCACCUCAGCCUUUUGGGGAAGCUCAAGUGUAGUGUGUUCUUACAGUUUCAUAUCUGCUAGGUGGCUGCAGGGGUUCAGUGCUCAAUAGCAUUGUGGAGACAGGAGGUGCUUGGAGAGCCUGCUGCAGCCACUUCACACAUGGGCCUGGUACAGCAAUAGCUUCUGGUGCUCUGCUAGCUCU
This 185-nucleotide small nuclear RNA is filed under the name Serinus canaria (Common canary). Its description in RNAcentral is "U2 spliceosomal RNA (ENSSCAG00000016445.1)". It matches the Rfam family "U2 spliceosomal RNA". Rfam says of the family: U2 is a small nuclear RNA (snRNA) component of the spliceosome (involved in pre-mRNA splicing). Complementary binding between U2 snRNA (in an area lying towards the 5' end but 3' to hairpin I) and the branchpoint sequence (BPS) of the intron results the bulging out of an unpaired adenosine, on the BPS, which initiates a nucleophilic attack at the intronic 5' splice site, thus starting the first of two transesterification reactions that mediate splicing. Lineage: Eukaryota; Metazoa; Chordata; Aves; Passeriformes; Fringillidae. The record is from Rfam by way of RNAcentral.